Molecule: ribosomal RNA, 236 nt
Filed under: Clostridioides difficile
Lineage: Bacteria; Bacillati; Bacillota; Clostridia; Peptostreptococcales; Peptostreptococcaceae
Description: partial 23S ribosomal RNA
Rfam family: Bacterial large subunit ribosomal RNA
Source: RNAcentral
CUUGGGAUACCACCCUUGUAGUACUGGGACUCUAACCAUAGGCCAUGAAUCUGGUCUUGGGACACUGUCAGGUGGGCAGUUUGACUGGGGCGGUCUCCUCCCCAUAGGUAACGGAGGCGCUCAAAGGGUUUUUUAGGACGGUCGGAAAUAGUACGUAGAGAGUAAAGGCAAAAGUGAGCUUGAUUGCCAGACAUACAGGUCGAGCAAGGAUGAAAAUCGGACUUAGUGAUCCGGUG